CACCACAUGCAGUGAUAGGCAUGCAGUCAUACAGAGUUGAUGCUCAAAGUAGAAGGUUCACUUAGAAGUCACAUCAUAGUAUGGCUUUGAUUGUUUGACAAUAAGAUGUGUUCAAGCAUAUGUAUUAGAAAUUUGGGUUGGAGAUCAUUGAUGUCGAUAGGGUUAAAGAAGGAUGUGGCCUUUGUUGACCACAAAUUGCUCAAUGAGGAAAUAUAGUUUGUGUGGUUGUUAAUGAUC
Molecule: long non-coding RNA, 237 nt
Filed under: Oryza brachyantha (malo sina)
Lineage: Eukaryota; Viridiplantae; Streptophyta; Magnoliopsida; Poales; Poaceae
Description: long non-coding RNA (OBRA_LNC001500)
Source: RNAcentral